GACAUGGUAGCGCAGUGGUUAAGUGUGCUUGACUUAGGAUUGAAAGGUCCUGAGUUUGAGUCCUUGCCACGGCU
Molecule: non-coding RNA, 74 nt
Organism: Gymnothorax javanicus (giant moray)
Lineage: Eukaryota; Metazoa; Chordata; Actinopteri; Anguilliformes; Muraenidae
Source: the annotation of a GenBank genome assembly